UACGUAGGGUGCAAGCGUUGUCCGGAAUUAUUGGGCGUAAAGAGCUCGUAGGCGGUCUGUCGCGUCGGCUGUGAAAACCCGGGGCUCAACCCCGGGCCUGCAGUCGAUACGGGCAGACUAGAGUGCGGUAGGGGAGACUGGAAUUCCUGGUGUAGCGGUGAAAUGCGCAGAUAUCAGGAGGAACACCGGUGGCGAAGGCGGGUCUCUGGGCCGUAACUGACACUGAGGAGCGAAAGCGUGGGUAGCAAACAGG
This 253-nucleotide ribosomal RNA is filed under the name uncultured bacterium. Its description in RNAcentral is "partial 16S ribosomal RNA". It matches the Rfam family "Bacterial small subunit ribosomal RNA", at positions 524 to 776 of the family's 1533-position model. The record is from RNAcentral.